CCAAAAAAAUCCUUGGUUGUAGAUCUUCACAUUUUGCUUCAAGUCGAAGAUUACAAAUUUUGCACAUUUGUUCUGGCUGUCUUGGCUGAGAUAUUGGGACGCCGACCCAAAAUGAUCCUAAGCAGUAUGUCUCACAAAAAUUUUUUUCAAGGCCGCCGCUGAAUAAUUUUAACAAUUGAAGGCUCCCCGCUACUUUUCUGCGAUGCAAUAAUUUUUUUGUGUGUGUAUGUGACACUCCUAUGCAGGUCAUUUCACCAUGAAGACUUGUUUGUGGCUUACUCUGCUAUCCCUCGUCACCGUGGCCUGUGAGUCUAGUGCCUAUACUAACUCGAGGGGUUGCAUGUAAUAAAAGCUAGCUCAACUAGCACUAUGAUGACUUUGAUGAGUCGCAUCACCGUGGCAGAUUAAGGAGACUAGGACACAUUAGGAGCUUGGUUGGUGCCGGCAGACGACAUUUCACUUAAGGUUUUCAAGACGCAAAUGCGUGUGAGAAAGUCGGAAUAAAUUAAUUACACCAGUCUCUGUCAUGUUGUAAGCAAAAUAUUCUCUUUGUUCAUAUAUAAUUAUUGUAUGUUGAUUCAUAAGCCAUUUUUUCCACACGUUAACUUAAAACAGCAAGGAGAAGAAGAACUAGCAACCAGUAGCCUCUUCUGGAGCAUACGCGGAAUGAAUUUCCAAGCGUACAACGUGAACCUACACUGACGUCAUGGACGCACUGUUAACGGCGUAAUCUAUCGGUUGCCAACGCAUUCAAAUCAGCAUACCUUUGAUUUUCAAGCCAUUGUACUAUCAGCGGCGAAAACUAACAUGCCAAAUCGGAUGGUAUUUACAUACACGUGUUAUAGAAUUUAUAUUAUGUUUUACUUUGUAUUACCACAACAACGAUUUACAUUAGCUUUUAGGGAUAUUCAAAGAACAGUGCUUCUAAUACAUUCUUCUUCUUGUUGCCUUUUUCAUAUGCAACGAAGAUGGCGCAACACUAGCUCCGCAGGUGGUCUUGGCUAAGGCUGUUCUUCCUAAAGAAGCUGAAGCAGAUGCCCUCGAGAAAGUUGGCAAGACCCUGGAGACAGUGGGACGGCUUCUGCAGGGCGAAAACAUCGCCUUAAACGAGGAGGUGCAAGAACAUUUGGUCAACGCGCUCCGGAUUGCGUCUGCCAAUGGCGAAGUGUUGGCUGAAGAUGGCUCCGAGUACAUCUGGCCAAUCAUCAUUCGUGGUGUUAUUCAGGGUGCCAUCGCCCACGUUGUCCACAAGAAGUUGAACAAGGGAUAAGAAACUGCUAGUGAAAAAUUACAACGCGUUAAUUACAAUAUCAUCAAAAAGAUACAAUGCCACGAAUUACGCACCCAGUUAGUUGUUCAUGAUCUCUACUGUAAUUAUGUGGCCUAAAAUAAAGUUCGUUGGUGCAGGGA
Non-coding RNA from Dermacentor andersoni, 1410 nucleotides. NCBI's taxonomy places the organism in Eukaryota, Metazoa, Arthropoda, Arachnida, Ixodida, Ixodidae. The record is from RefSeq and is a predicted model, not a curated record.